UCCUUUGUCCCCGUCACAGGUGAUUCAUCAUGCGUUCAUGGAUGAUGGAUUGAAAAGGGAAUCCGGUGCGAGUCCGGAACUGUACCCUCAGCUGUAAUUUCAGUAGAAUGGUUUUGCAUUCUUUUUGAUCACUGUAUGCCACAUCAAGGCUACGGGAAGAUCGCAAAACCUUGAAAAAGUCAGAAGACCUGCCUGGGCGACUUUUUUUCA
Molecule: non-coding RNA, 210 nt
Filed under: Tannerella forsythia
Lineage: Bacteria; Pseudomonadati; Bacteroidota; Bacteroidia; Bacteroidales; Tannerellaceae
Also listed under: 1 other name
Source: RNAcentral